This 497-nucleotide ribosomal RNA is filed under the name uncultured bacterium. RNAcentral's name for it is "partial 16S ribosomal RNA". It matches the Rfam family "Bacterial small subunit ribosomal RNA", at positions 28 to 507 of the family's 1533-position model. The record is from RNAcentral.
GAUGAACGCUGGCGGCGUGCCUAAUACAUGCAAGUCGAGCGAACGGACGAGAAGCUUGCUUCUCUGAUGUUAGCGGCGGACGGGUGAGUAACACGUGGAUAACCUACCUAUAAGACUGGGAUAACUUCGGGAAACCGGAGCUAAUACCGGAUAAUAUUUUGAACCGCAUGGUUCAAAAGUGAAAGACGGUCUUGCUGUCACUUAUAGAUGGAUCCGCGCUGCAUUAGCUAGUUGGUAAGGUAACGGCUUACCAAGGCAACGAUGCAUAGCCGACCUGAGAGGGUGACGGGCCACAGGGGAACGGAGCCACGCUCCAACCUCCUGCGGGGGGAGGAAGAGGGGAACUUUCCGCAAGGGAGAAAGGCCGGAGGGGAAAGCGCGGGGGGAUGAAUAAGGUUUUCGGAAUCUAAAACCUUUUUUAUUAGGAAAAAAAAUUUGUGAAGUAAACGGUGCACAUCUUGAGGGAACUUAACCAAAAGCCCAGGGCUAGCUAGGUC